ACCCAACCAUACCCUUUCACUCUCUUCGACUUGGUCAUUGGAUUUCGCAUCUGCUUCCCUCUUUGUCCCCUCCCCCCCUCCUUCCCCCAAAAUCAAAACCCUCAAGUCCGCCCUGAUCCCGACCCCAACCCCAACGACCACUCCACCACGACAUGAACCCCACCGUCUUGAAUCAGAUGAACAAGAAUGUUGAAUGAUCGAAAAGAUGGCAAAAUCAGUUCGAAGUUUAACUACUCUUGUUGAAGUCAUGAAUGUUUUCAGAAUGUUGAAUGCUUGAAAAGAAGGUAAGUUAUUUUGUUUCUUCGCAAAUAAUCUCUCUCACGAACACACAGGUUUUAAUCCUUGUAACAAUAAUAUGAGGGAAUUCCUCAGCUUGAAAACGUUAACCAAUCUUAUGUUUGGUAGUUAAACUUCUUCUUCUUCUUCUUUUAAUUUUAUGAGGGAAUUCUUCAGCUAGUACAUUGUUUUUGGAUGGCUUCACUUGAUCAGUCUGUAAUAGACAACCGUUGCGAUUUGGGUGCAGUGGGAUGUUAGAAAAGCUGCAGAGGAUAAUCGUUGUUUUUGAAUAAUCUUAUGAUUGGUAGUGUCACUAUCAAUUCUCAUUCGCACUCAUUUUUAAUGUUAUGUUACUAGCGCCCUGUUGAUAUUAUUGUGAAUAAUCGUUGUUUUGUGCAUGUAUCAGCUUCUCGGUUAUAGUUGAGAUUGUAAUUAGAUUGUU
Asparagus officinalis (garden asparagus) is the source of this 718-nucleotide long non-coding RNA. RefSeq lists it as uncharacterized. The transcript is spliced from 2 exons. The record is from RefSeq and is a predicted model, not a curated record. Lineage: Eukaryota; Viridiplantae; Streptophyta; Magnoliopsida; Asparagales; Asparagaceae.